AUUGAACGCUGGCGGCAGGCCUAACACAUGCAAGUCGAACGGUAACAGGAAGAAGCUUGCUUCUUUGCUGACGAGUGGCGGACGGGUGAGUAAUGUCUGGGAAACUGCCUGAUGGAGGGGGACAACUACUGGAAACGGUAGCUAAUACCGCAUAACGUCGCAAGACCAAAGAGGGGGACCUUCGGGCCUCUUGCCAUCGGAUGUGCCCAGAUGGGAUUAGCUAGUAGGUGGGGUAACGGCUCACCUAGUCGACGAUCCCUAGCUGGUCUGAGAGGAUGACCAGCCACACUGGAACUGAGACACGGUCCAGACUCCUACGGGAGGCAGCAGUGGGGAAUAUUGCACAAUGGGCGCAAGCCUGAUGCAGCCAUGCCGCGUGUAUGAAGAAGGCCUUCGGGUUGUAAAGUACUUUCAGCGGGGAGGAAGGGAGUAAAGUUAAUACCUGUGCUCAUUGACGUUACCCGCAGAAGAAGCACCGGCUAACUCCGUG
Molecule: ribosomal RNA, 490 nt
Filed under: uncultured bacterium
Lineage: Bacteria
Description: partial 16S ribosomal RNA
Rfam family: Bacterial small subunit ribosomal RNA
Source: RNAcentral